This 264-nucleotide ribosomal RNA is filed under the name uncultured Staphylococcus sp. Its description in RNAcentral is "partial 16S ribosomal RNA". It matches the Rfam family "Bacterial small subunit ribosomal RNA", at positions 99 to 355 of the family's 1533-position model. The record is from RNAcentral. Lineage: Bacteria; Bacillati; Bacillota; Bacilli; Caryophanales; Staphylococcaceae.
CGGACGGGUGAGUAACACGUGGAUAACCUACCUAUAAGACUGGGAUAACUUCGGGAAACCGGAGCUAAUACCGGAUAAUAUAUUGAACCGCAUGGUUCAAUAGUGAAAGACGGUUUUGCUGUCACUUAUAGAUGGAUCCGCGCCGCAUUAGCUAGUUGGUAAGGUAACGGCUUACCAAGGCAACGAUGCGUAGCCGACCUGAGAGGGUGAUCGGCCACACUGGGAACUGAGACACGGUCCAGACUCCUACGGGAGGCAGCAGCC